Molecule: ribosomal RNA, 1119 nt
Filed under: Priestia aryabhattai
Lineage: Bacteria; Bacillati; Bacillota; Bacilli; Caryophanales; Bacillaceae
Description: bacterial SSU rRNA
Rfam family: Bacterial small subunit ribosomal RNA
Source: RNAcentral
CGCCGGGCGGCGUGCUAUACAUGCAAGUCGAGCGAACUGAUUAGAAGCUUGCUUCUAUGACGUUAGCGGCGGACGGGUGAGUAACACGUGGGCAACCUGCCUGUAAGACUGGGAUAACUUCGGGAAACCGAAGCUAAUACCGGAUAGGAUCUUCUCCUUCAUGGGAGAUGAUUGAAAGAUGGUUUCGGCUAUCACUUACAGAUGGGCCCGCGGUGCAUUAGCUAGUUGGUGAGGUAACGGCUCACCAAGGCAACGAUGCAUAGCCGACCUGAGAGGGUGAUCGGCCACACUGGGACUGAGACACGGCCCAGACUCCUACGGGAGGCAGCAGUAGGGAAUCUUCCGCAAUGGACGAAAGUCUGACGGAGCAACGCCGCGUGAGUGAUGAAGGCUUUCGGGUCGUAAAACUCUGUUGUUAGGGAAGAACAAGUACAAGAGUAACUGCUUGUACCUUGACGGUACCUAACCAGAAAGCCACGGCUAACUACGUGCCAGCAGCCGCGGUAAUACGUAGGUGGCAAGCGUUAUCCGGAAUUAUUGGGCGUAAAGCGCGCGCAGGCGGUUUCUUAAGUCUGAUGUGAAAGCCCACGGCUCAACCGUGGAGGGUCAUUGGAAACUGGGGAACUUGAGUGCAGAAGAGAAAAGCGGAAUUCCACGUGUAGCGGUGAAAUGCGUAGAGAUGUGGAGGAACACCAGUGGCGAAGGCGGCUUUUUGGUCUGUAACUGACGCUGAGGCGCGAAAGCGUGGGGAGCAAACAGGAUUAGAUACCCGUGGGUAGUCCACGCCGUAAACGAUGAGUGCUAAGUGUUAGAGGGUUUCCGCUCUUUUAGUGCUGCAGCUAACGCAUUAAGCACUCCGCCUGGGGAGUACGGUCGCAAGACUGAAACUCAAAGGAAGUGACGGGGGCCCGCACGAGCGGUGGAGCAUGUGGUUUAUUUCGAAGCAACGCGAGAACCAUACCAGGUCUUGACAUCCUCUGACAACUCUAGAGAUAGAGCGUUCCUCUUCGGGGGACAGAAGUGACAGGUGUGCAUGUGGUCGUCAUCCUCGUGUCGUGAGAUGUUGGAUAAGUCACGACACGAGCGCCAACCCGUUGAUCUUAGUUUGCCCAGCAUCAG